UAGGGAAUCUUCCACAAUGGACGCAAGUCUGAUGGAGCAACGCCGCGUGAGUGAAGAAGGUUUUCGGACCGUAAAGCUCUGUUGCUGGUGAAGAAGGAUAGAGGUAGUAACUGGCCUUUAUUUGACGGUAAUCAACCAGAAAGUCACGGCUAACUACGUGCCAGCAGCCGCGGUAAUACGUAGGUGGCAAGCGUUGUUCGGAUUUAUUGGGCGUAAAGCGAGCGCAGGCGGAAGAAUAAGUCUGAUGUGAAAGCCCUCGGCUUAACCGAGGAAUUGCAUCGGAAACUGUUUUCUUGAGUGCAGAAGAGGAGAGUAGAACUCCAUGUGUAGCGGUGGAAUGCGUAGAUAUAUGGAAGAAUACCAGUGGCGAAGGCGGCUCUCUGGUCUGCAACUGACGCUGAGGCUCGAAAGCAUGGGUAGCGAACAGGAUUAGAUACCCUGGUAGUCCAUGCCGUAAACGAUGAGUGCUAAGUGUUGGGAGGCUUCCGCCUCUCAGUGCUGCAGCUAACGCAUUAAGCACUCCGCCUGGGGGAGUACGACCGCAAGGUUGAAAC
This 554-nucleotide ribosomal RNA is filed under the name uncultured bacterium. RNAcentral describes it as "partial 16S ribosomal RNA". It matches the Rfam family "Bacterial small subunit ribosomal RNA", at positions 355 to 900 of the family's 1533-position model. The record is from RNAcentral.